GGUUAAGCGACUAAGCGUACACGGUGGAUGCCCUGGCAGUCAGAGGCGAUGAAGGACGUGCUAAUCUGCGAUAAGCGUCGGUAAGGUGAUAUGAACCGUUAUAACCGGCGAUUUCCGAAUGGGGAAACCCAGUGUGAUUCGUCACACUAUCAUUAACUGAAUCCAUAGGUUAAUGAGGCGAACCGGGGGAACUGAAACAUCUAAGUACCCCGAGGAAAAGAAAUCAACCGAGAUUCCCCCAGUAGCGGCGAGCGAACGGGGAGCAGCCCAGAGCCUGAAUCAGUGUGUGUGUUAGUGGAAGCGUCUGGAAAGGCGUGCGAUACAGGGUGACAGCCCCGUACACAAAAAUGCACAUACUGUGAGCUCGAUGAGUAGGGCGGGACACGUGGUAUCCUGUCUGAAUAUGGGGGGACCAUCCUCCAAGGCUAAAUACUCCUGACUGACCGAUAGUGAACCAGUACCGUGAGGGAAAGGCGAAAAGAACCCCGGCGAGGGGAGUGAAAAAGAACCUGAAACCGUGUACGUACAAGCAGUGGGAGCACAGAGCAAUCUGUGUGACUGCGUACCUUUUGUAUAAUGGGUCAGCGACUUAUAUUCUGUAGCAAGGUUAACCGAAUAGGGGAGCCGAAGGGAAACCGAGUCUUAACUGGGCGUUAAGUUGCAGGGUAUAGACCCGAAACCCGGUGAUCUAGCCAUGGGCAGGUUGAAGGUUGGGUAACACUAACUGGAGGACCGAACCGACUAAUGUUGAAAAAUUAGCGGAUGACUUGUGGCUGGGGGUGAAAGGCCAAUCAAACCGGGAGAUAGCUGGUUCUCCCCGAAAGCUAUUUAGGUAGCGCCUCGUGAAUUCAUCUCCGGGGGUAGAGCACUGUUUCGGCAAGGGGGUCAUCCCGACUUACCAACCCGAUGCAAACUGCGAAUACCGGAGAAUGUUAUCACGGGAGACACACGGCGGGUGCUAACGUCCGUCGUGAAGAGGGAAACAACCCAGACCGCCAGCUAAGGUCCCAAAGUCAUGGUUAAGUGGGAAACGAUGUGGGAAGGCCCAGACAGCCAGGAUGUUGGCUUAGAAGCAGCCAUCAUUUAAAGAAAGCGUAAUAGCUCACUGGUCGAGUCGGCCUGCGCGGAAGAUGUAACGGGGCUAAACCAUGCACCGAAGCUGCGGCAGCGACGCUGAUGCGUUGUUGGGUAGGGGAGCGUUCUGUAAGCCUGUGAAGGUGUACUGUGAGGUAUGCUGGAGGUAUCAGAAGUGCGAAUGCUGACAUAAGUAACGAUAAAGCGGGUGAAAAGCCCGCUCGCCGGAAGACCAAGGGUUCCUGUCCAACGUUAAUCGGGGCAGGGUGAGUCGACCCCUAAGGCGAGGCCGAAAGGCGUAGUCGAUGGGAAACAGGUUAAUAUUCCUGUACUUGGUGUUACUGCGAAGGGGGACGGAGAAGGCUAUGUUGGCCGGGCGACGGUUGUCCCGGUUUAAGCGUGUAGGCUGGUUUUCCAGGCAAAUCCGGAAAAUCAAGGCUGAGGCGUGAUGACGAGGCACUACGGUGCUGAAGCAACAAAUGCCCUGCUUCCAGGAAAAGCCUCUAAGCAUCAGGUAACAUCAAAUCGUACCCCAAACCGACACAGGUGGUCAGGUAGAGAAUACCAAGGCGCUUGAGAGAACUCGGGUGAAGGAACUAGGCAAAAUGGUGCCGUAACUUCGGGAGAAGGCACGCUGAUAUGUAGGUGAAGUCCCUCGCGGAUGGAGCUGAAAUCAGUCGAAGAUACCAGCUGGCUGCAACUGUUUAUUAAAAACACAGCACUGUGCAAACACGAAAGUGGACGUAUACGGUGUGACGCCUGCCCGGUGCCGGAAGGUUAAUUGAUGGGGUUAGCGCAAGCGAAGCUCUUGAUCGAAGCCCCGGUAAACGGCGGCCGUAACUAUAACGGUCCUAAGGUAGCGAAAUUCCUUGUCGGGUAAGUUCCGACCUGCACGAAUGGCGUAAUGAUGGCCAGGCUGUCUCCACCCGAGACUCAGUGAAAUUGAACUCGCUGUGAAGAUGCAGUGUACCCGCGGCAAGACGGAAAGACCCCGUGAACCUUUACUAUAGCUUGACACUGAACAUUGAGCCUUGAUGUGUAGGAUAGGUGGGAGGCUUGGAAGUGUGGACGCCAGUCUGCAUGGAGCCGACCUUGAAAUACCACCCUUUAAUGUUUGAUGUUCUAACGUUGACCCGUAAUCCGGGUUGCGGACAGUGUCUGGUGGGUAGUUUGACUGGGGCGGUCUCCUCCUAAAGAGUAACGGAGGAGCACGAAGGUUGGCUAAUCCUGGUCGGACAUCAGGAGGUUAGUGCAAUGGCAUAAGCCAGCUUGACUGCGAGCGUGACGGCGCGAGCAGGUGCGAAAGCAGGUCAUAGUGAUCCGGUGGUUCUGAAUGGAAGGGCCAUCGCUCAACGGAUAAAAGGUACUCCGGGGAUAACAGGCUGAUACCGCCCAAGAGUUCAUAUCGACGGCGGUGUUUGGCACCUCGAUGUCGGCUCAUCACAUCCUGGGGCUGAAGUAGGUCCCAAGGGUAUGGCUGUUCGCCAUUUAAAGUGGUACGCGAGCUGGGUUUAGAACGUCGUGAGACAGUUCGGUCCCUAUCUGCCGUGGGCGCUGGAGAACUGAGGGGGCUGCUCCUAGUACGAGAGGACCGGAGUGGACGCAUCACUGGUGUUCGGGUUGUCAUGCCAAUGGCACUGCCCGGUAGCUAAAUGCGGAAGAGAUAAGUGCUGAAAGCAUCUAAGCACGAAACUUGCCCCGAGAUGAGUUCUCCCUGACUCCUUGAGAGUCCUGAAGGAACGUUGAAGACGACGACGUUGAUAGGCCGGGUGUGUAAGCGCAGCGAUGCGUUGAGCUAACCGGUACUAAUGAACCGUGAGGCUUAACCUU
RNAcentral lists this ribosomal RNA (2904 nucleotides) under Escherichia coli. RNAcentral's name for it is "23S ribosomal RNA". It matches the Rfam family "Bacterial large subunit ribosomal RNA". The record is from RNAcentral. Lineage: Bacteria; Pseudomonadati; Pseudomonadota; Gammaproteobacteria; Enterobacterales; Enterobacteriaceae.